Molecule: non-coding RNA, 29 nt
Filed under: Mus musculus (house mouse)
Lineage: Eukaryota; Metazoa; Chordata; Mammalia; Rodentia; Muridae
Also listed under: 1 other name
Source: RNAcentral
UCACCCAGGCUGUGUACACAAGAAGGGUU